Pteropus alecto (black flying fox) is the source of this 2889-nucleotide long non-coding RNA. RefSeq lists it as uncharacterized. Lineage: Eukaryota; Metazoa; Chordata; Mammalia; Chiroptera; Pteropodidae. The record is from RefSeq and is a predicted model, not a curated record. The transcript has 2 exons.
CCUCCCGAAGCCGCGGGACCCGGCUGGCCGCGCUCCCGGCGCCGAGCGCGCACCCUCGCCGGGACACAGACGCACACUCACCCGACACACUCGCUCCUGCUUGCCGUCGGCGGAGAGUUGAAACAGCUGUGGGAUUCGCCCAGGCGCUGGAAAUGAGGGAGGGACGCGAGCCAGAACCGUGCGUGCGAGGCUCGCCUGGGUCUGCAAACACCGACCGCCUUUGCCGAAAGCCCCGCGCUUGCCUCUAGACACACUUGCCUUUGCACACGCGGGCUGGAGCCGGGCCCGCAGCGAGAUCGCACGGUGAACCGCCCACGCGCCACGACCUGCACACGCGCCCAGGAAGCUCCCCGAGACAUUAACUUGAGCUUAAGUGAAAAUAGCUGCGUUUGCCCAGAAAUGGUCCGGGAACGGGAAAGAAAGGAGAAACGGGCUGCUUCUGAAAGAAGAGAAAUUCGACUCAAGGUGGUGCUGUCUACCGCCGUUUCCACUGUCCCCUGAGCCACAGAAGAGGCCGGAGGGGGACGGGGCUGCAGACAGGGGUGGACAAAGAACCAGCAGAGAACCAACUAGUAGCUGCAGAAAACAGCUGUGUCGUUAAGGAGCAAGUGACUUUGCGGUAGUAAAUUUACUGGCAGGCCGUAGUUACUUAUUUAAAUCUAAUAAUCUUACAAGGUAAGGAGUAGGAUUAUAGAUAUGGAGACAAAGUCACUGAGAGGUUAUGUAAGUGACUCAAGGUCACAGAAUUGUAAGUGGUGGACCUAGGACUCGAACCCAAGAAAUUUGGGUCCAGAGUUAUGUUCUUCAUCCCAAGCCACUGUUACUUUUUCAGACCAAGAUCUCUGUUCCCUGGUGGUGUCCUUUUUCAUGCUAGUUAGGGUUGUCAUGUUUAGUAAAUAAAAAUGGACAGUGGCCCAUGAGGAUAUUCUUACACUAAAAAAUUCUUUGUUGUUUAUGUGGAAUGCGAAUUGGGUGUCCUGACUCAGUGGAGGGCAGGGUGGGGUGGUGAGUUUGGGUCUAGACUCUCCCCACCAUAAUUUCCCUUACUCGCCCCCCCCCCAAUUAAUUUAGUCUAAACAAAUCAGAAGAAUCUGGCACUUUUCCAAGUUAAGAUUUUGGUGCUCACCUUUGGCACCACUGGGCUUGCUGACCACCUGCCUUCCAUUAGCCUUGGAACAAAACGUCAGGCUUACUUCGCCAUCACAGACCAAAAAAUAAUGGGGACCCCUCCCCUUCUGCUGCAUCUCUGUGGAGGGAAGGGCAUGUUGCUGCACAGCCUCUAGUGUGGUGCUGCCUGGUAGACAUAUAAGAUGGGCCAUGUAUGUAAUUUAAAAUUUUCUAGUAGUUGCAGUCAACAGUAAAAAGAAACAGGUGAAAUUAAUUUUAAUAAUAUGGUUUAUUUAAACUUGUGUAUCCAAAUAUUACAUCAACAUGUAACCAAGAAAAAAAUUAUUACUGAAAUAUUGUAUUCUUUUUUUCUAAUUCUUUGGAAGCUAGUGUGUAUUUUAUACUUACAACAUUUCCCAAUUCCGACCAUCCACACGGGGCUGUGGGUUCCCAUUCUGGAUAACGCAGCUCUGGCAGGUUGCAUGGUCCACUGCUGAGUGUUUCCAUCAGGUUACUGCAUGUAAUCAAGCCUCUUAACAGUGUUUCAAGAAAACUGAGAAAGGUAAAGGGAUUGAUCACGGGCACAAAGUCAGCAAGUGGGAAUUUAACCCACAUGCAGCUGUGCCUGCCUUUGGGACACGUAUACCCGGCACCAACAGUUUUCCAGUUGGGUCCUCAGAGCCCCAUGGGGGUGCCUUAGGGGCCUGGGGUAGAGGAGGGAGGUGAGAUCUGCUUUUUGUUUGCUUUUUAUGUUGGGUUCUGGAGAAUAUUUCAGAGGUGGGGGGAUUUCCACCAUAAAAAAGCUCAAAAACACUGCCUUCCUUCAGGCCUCAAGUUCAUGAACAUGACUCUCUCCUCCCUAGAUGGUCUGCCUACAAUUUCUUCCUCCAUCCUUCUCUGCUCAUCAGGGAACCGCAGUAAUGGAGGGGCUGCGCUGGAGGCUAAGAAGGUGCCAUUAUCUUUUUGGGUGUUCUUUCCACUGUUGCUGUACAGAGACCAAACAUCGUGAUGUCUGUGUUUUGCCUCUUGUCCUUUGAUAGGGGGUUGGUGACAGAUCUUGUGCCUCUUUGUGUAUACCCGCGUGUGCACACACACCUGUGUGUGAGCAUGCAAACACGUGGGUGUGUUCACUGUGGAUGGCGUUUCAGGUCACGCCUUACUAGCUCAGUCACUCACUAGGUGGGAGGGGCUGCAAAGGGCUCUCUGACCACGUUUCUUUCCCAUAAUUCAUAGCAAACUCCAUGAUCCUCUGGGUCAAGGCCUUGGCCUAAGUUUUCCAGGUUCCUUCCAGGCGGGUGGAGACUCCUGGCCCCAUUGCAGAGCACAGCGUCUGCCUGGGAGACCUCAGGGGCUCAGAUGUCCCCGGCCUAUGAAGUCACUCAGCCAUGACUAGGUUGGGCCUAGGUGGGCACUCAGCAGAAUUCUCAGGAUCCUCCCGCCCUCCUGAUUCUACAGCCCCCGUCUAUCUCCAACCACCCCAUCUGGGACAGCCUUUCUCUUCUCGUGUCCCUUGUCACCCUAAUGCAUCUCUCACCAGGAUUGUCCUGCCUGGAUACUGGGUCUUUUAGGCUCCUCCUGCCACUCCCGACUCAUCACCUCUUUUUGUUGGUUUAACCUGGAGAGGACCCUUCUCUUCACACCUACGCGCUUCAUUUUUUCUUCCUUCAAGUCCACUGGCGGGCCUCUGUGCAGAGUGCCUGUCUGGUCUGUCUACCUUGCAAAGCCAGACUGCUGUUCUAUUUCCUUGAUUCCUGUGCGACAAUUAAACAAACAAACAAACCA